UAAGGACUUAUCCCUUGGCAAAAGCUAGGACAACUCGUACAACCAUGAGGGCUAUAUGGCUCUGGUUUUAGCUCAGUAUGAGGACCUUUUUCUAGCUUGUUAGCGGUUACCUUAAAUGGCGUAAGAAUGGCUAGACACGUUGGGUAUAGUGUGGCCUCUGUCCAUGUGUAUAGGCUGCGAGUUAUGUGCCAUGGAAGGGGGGGCUCUAUAUCUGCCUGCCGAGUGAAUCUAAUGGCCCUAACUUGUUAGACGAAACCUUUGAAAGGCUUCAUAGUGAUCCCUGCCGACCUCCCUUGGAAGGG
RNAcentral lists this long non-coding RNA (302 nucleotides) under Sorghum bicolor (sorghum). Its description in RNAcentral is "long non-coding RNA (SBIC_LNC018386)". Lineage: Eukaryota; Viridiplantae; Streptophyta; Magnoliopsida; Poales; Poaceae. The record is from RNAcentral.